RNAcentral lists this ribosomal RNA (301 nucleotides) under uncultured bacterium. RNAcentral's name for it is "partial 16S ribosomal RNA". It matches the Rfam family "Bacterial small subunit ribosomal RNA", at positions 509 to 807 of the family's 1533-position model. The record is from RNAcentral.
CAGCCGCCGCGGUAAUACGAAGGGUGCAAGCGUUACUCGGAAUUACUGGGCGUAAAGCGUGCGUAGGUGGUGGUUUAAGUCCGUUGUGAAAGCCCUGGGCUCAACCUGGGAAUUGCAGUGGAUACUGGGUCACUAGAGUGUGGUAGAGGAUAGUGGAAUUUCCGGUGUAGCAGUGAAAUGCGUAGAGAUCGGAAGGAACAUCUGUGGCGAAGGCGACUACCUGGGCCAACACUGACACUGAGGCGCGAAAGCGUGGGGAGCAAACAGGAUUAGAUACCCGCGUAGUCCCUGUCUCUUAUAC